Molecule: long non-coding RNA, 589 nt
Organism: Pseudopipra pipra
Lineage: Eukaryota; Metazoa; Chordata; Aves; Passeriformes; Pipridae
Exons: 4
Source: RefSeq, a predicted model, not a curated record
AGCCCUCCAGGAUCCGUGGAGUCCAAGCUGUGACUGAUCCCAGCCCCGCGCGGGAGAGCUGAGCACACUCCUGAGGAGGGGAAGCCGCGGCCGUGACCUGGGAGCUGUGAGACCUCGUCCUGCCCUGGCUGCGUCCACAGGAGCUCCGAAGCACCGGGAUGGCCGAUGGAUCCGGCCCUGGGGCACCAGUUCCACCGCCGGACACAGCCCUUGGCAGCCAGCCCCGGCCAGAGCUUCAGACUAGACCUGGAAAGCCACAUCCUAUGAACCUCCUGGCUACACCUUCUUCAGUGCAGACAUGAAGCAACACUCCUGUGGCCGAGCACUGGCAGGACAAAAGGGAAGCUCCAGGAAUGACAACGGGCACAACCAUAGCCCCAAACUGGAGCAAACUGGAGUCUGGUACUUUGCCAUCCUGGUAUUACAGUUUACAGACAGCGUAAAAAUUCCUUUUGGAGUUCGGAAUAUCAAGGUGAGACUUUUUGGCCAAUUCCUGUACUUUUGACACCACUUCCAAUGUUCACAGAGCAUUUCAGCUUCCCAGGUGCUGCCCCGGCGAGGGCUGGGGGGUCCGAAGGGCAGGAAACCC